This 465-nucleotide ribosomal RNA is filed under the name Vreelandella stevensii. RNAcentral describes it as "partial 16S ribosomal RNA". It matches the Rfam family "Bacterial small subunit ribosomal RNA", at positions 338 to 795 of the family's 1533-position model. The record is from RNAcentral. Lineage: Bacteria; Pseudomonadati; Pseudomonadota; Gammaproteobacteria; Oceanospirillales; Halomonadaceae.
CCUACGGGUGGCUGCAGUGGGGAAUAUUGGACAAUGGGGGCAACCCUGAUCCAGCCAUGCCGCGUGUGUGAAGAAGGCCCUCGGGUUGUAAAGCACUUUCAGUGAGGAAGAACGCCUGGUGGUUAAUACCCAUCAGGAAAGACAUCACUCACAGAAGAAGCACCGGCUAACUCCGUGCCAGCAGCCGCGGGAAUACGGAGGGUGCGAGCGUUAAUCGGAAUUACUGGGCGUAAAGCGCGCGUAGGUGGCUUGAUAAGCCGGUUGUGAAAGCCCCGGGCUCAACCUGGGAACGGCAUCCGGAACUGUCAAGCUAGAGUGCAGGAGAGGAAGGUAGAAUUCCCGGUGUAGCGGUGAAAUGCGUAGAGCUCGGGAGGAAUACCAGUGGCGAAGGCGGCCUUCUGGACUGACACUGACACUGAGGUGCGAAAGCGUGGGUAGCAAACAGGAUUAGAUACCCUAGUAGUC